Molecule: ribosomal RNA, 253 nt
Filed under: uncultured bacterium
Lineage: Bacteria
Description: partial 16S ribosomal RNA
Rfam family: Bacterial small subunit ribosomal RNA
Source: RNAcentral
UACGAAGGGGGCUAGCGUUGUUCGGAAUCACUGGGCGUAAAGCGCACGUAGGCGGAUUGUUAAGUCGGGGGUGAAAUCCUGAGGCUCAACCUCAGAACUGCCUUCGAUACUGGCAAUCUCGAGUCCGGAAGAGGUUGGUGGAACAGCUAGUGUAGAGGUGAAAUUCGUAGAUAUUAGCUAGAACACCAGUGGCGAAGGCGGCCAACUGGUCCGGCACUGACGCUGAGGUGCGAAAGCGUGGGGAGCAAACAGG